UGGGGAAUUUUGGACAAUGGGGGAAACCCUGAUCCAGCCAUCCCGCGUGUGCGAUGAAGGCCUUCGGGUUGUAAAGCACUUUUGGCAGGAAAGAAACGUCAUGGGUUAAUACCCCGUGAAACUGACGGUACCUGCAGAAUAAGCACCGGCUAACUACGUGCCAGCAGCCGCGGUAAUACGUAGGGUGCAAGCGUUAAUCGGAAUUACUGGGCGUAAAGCGUGCGCAGGCGGUUCGGAAAGAAAGAUGUGAAAUCCCAGAGCUCAACUUUGGAACUGCAUUUUUAACUACCGGGCUAGAGUGUGUCAGAGGGAGGUGGAAUUCCGCGUGUAGCAGUGAAAUGCGUAGAUAUGCGGAGGAACACCGAUGGCGAAGGCAGCCUCCUGGGAUAACACUGACGCUCAUGCACGAAAGCAUGGGGAGCAAACAGG
Molecule: ribosomal RNA, 429 nt
Filed under: Acidobacteriota bacterium
Lineage: Bacteria; Pseudomonadati; Acidobacteriota
Description: Acidobacteria bacterium partial 16S ribosomal RNA
Rfam family: Bacterial small subunit ribosomal RNA
Source: RNAcentral